This 253-nucleotide ribosomal RNA is filed under the name uncultured bacterium. RNAcentral's name for it is "partial 16S ribosomal RNA". It matches the Rfam family "Bacterial small subunit ribosomal RNA", at positions 524 to 776 of the family's 1533-position model. The record is from RNAcentral.
UACGGAGGGUGCAAGCGUUAUCCGGAUUCACUGGGUUUAAAGGGUGCGUAGGUGGGCAAGUAAGUCAGUGGUGAAAUCUCCGGGCUUAACCCGGAAACUGCCAUUGAUACUAUUUGUCUUGAAUACUGUGGAGGUCAGCGGAAUAUGUCAUGUAGCGGUGAAAUGCAUAGAUAUGACAUAGAACACCAAUUGCGAAGGCAGCUGGCUACACAAAUAUUGACGCUGAUGCACGAAAGCGUGGGGAUCAAACAGG